This 73-nucleotide transfer RNA is filed under the name Roseburia intestinalis. RNAcentral's name for it is "tRNA-Val". It matches the Rfam family "tRNA". Rfam says of the family: Transfer RNA (tRNA) molecules are approximately 80 nucleotides in length. The record is from RNAcentral. Lineage: Bacteria; Bacillati; Bacillota; Clostridia; Lachnospirales; Lachnospiraceae. RNAcentral also lists the same sequence under 1 other name.
GGGAUCUUAGCUCAGCUGGGAGAGCAUCUGCCUUACAAGCAGAGAGUCAUAGGUUCGAGCCCUAUAGGUCCCA